Molecule: long non-coding RNA, 539 nt
Organism: Saccostrea echinata
Lineage: Eukaryota; Metazoa; Mollusca; Bivalvia; Ostreida; Ostreidae
Exons: 3
Source: RefSeq, a predicted model, not a curated record
UUUGGUUCUGACACAAAGAUAAAUUCUCCCUAAAAGUUCGGAAUGGAGUAGAAAAGCUUUUUUGUGAAAGGCAGAUGCUGUUUUGAAAGUGUCUUUGAUGCUCCGCCAUUUUAGGAUGUAGCUGUGACGUCAUCGUGUAUUUCGUUUUCAAGUGGACAAGCAUUUCCGACUCCCGUGUAAGUUAUCUCCCUUAAAUUUGUACAAGGAUCGGCUCUGAAUUAUCCUACUCCAAAAAUAAGGAUAAUUGUUAGAUAUAUAUAAUAAAUUUAUAAAAUCUUAUAUAAAUAGAUAUAUUUUUAUAAAUGUGUGGGUGUGGUUUAUUUCUUUGUUGAGGGGAUAGGUGAAAACAUGGUGUUGACUUGUAAAUGAUACACAAGUAAGGUCAGCUUGGUUAUUAAGUAAGUUACGUGUUUUAUCAUACAGAUAUAAGUAGUGUUCUCAUUUACAUGAAAAAGCAAUGUUCAUUGAAGAAUCCGGAAAUUGUUUUUAGAAUGGAUUCUUCUUAUAUUUGUUGUACAUGUCUUUAAAAAUUAAUCAUU